This 456-nucleotide ribosomal RNA is filed under the name uncultured bacterium. Its description in RNAcentral is "bacterial SSU rRNA". It matches the Rfam family "Bacterial small subunit ribosomal RNA", at positions 340 to 789 of the family's 1533-position model. The record is from RNAcentral.
UACGGGAGGCAGCAGUGGGGAAUAUUGCACAAUGGGCGCAAGCCUGAUGCAGCCAUGCCGCGUGUAUGAAAAAGGCCUUCGGGUUGUAAAGUACUUUCAGUCGUGAGGAAGGUGUUAAGGUUAAUAACCUUAGCAAUUGACGUUAGCGACAGAAGAGGCACCGGCUAACUCCGUGCCAGCAGCCGCGGUAAUACGGAGGGUGCGAGCGUUAAUCGGAAUUACUGGGCGUAAAGGGCACGCAGGCGGUUAAUUAAGUUGGAUGUGAAAUCCCCGGGCUUAACCUGGGAAUGGCAUUCAAGACUGGUUAGCUAGAGUCUUGUAGAGGGGGUAGAAUUCCAUGUGUAGCGGUGAAAUGCGUAGAGAUGUGGAGGAAUACCGGUGGCGAAGGCGGCCCCUGGACAAAGACUGACGCUCAUGUGCGAAAGCGUGGGGAGCAAACAGGGAUUAGAUACCCGU